GCAUUGGUGGUUCAGUGGUAGAAUUCUUGCCUGCCACGUGGAGGCCCGUGUUCGAGGCCCGGGUUCGAUUCCCGGCCACUGCA
Molecule: non-coding RNA, 83 nt
Organism: Dallia pectoralis (Alaska blackfish)
Lineage: Eukaryota; Metazoa; Chordata; Actinopteri; Esociformes; Umbridae
Source: the annotation of a GenBank genome assembly